This is a small nuclear RNA of Choloepus hoffmanni (Hoffmann's two-fingered sloth), 106 nucleotides long. The record is from Ensembl. NCBI's taxonomy places the organism in Eukaryota, Metazoa, Chordata, Mammalia, Pilosa, Megalonychidae.
GUGUUUGCUUCAGGGACACAUAUACUAAAACCGGAAUAAAACAGAAAGAUAAGCAUGGUCCCUGUGCAAGGAUGACCCCCAAAUUCAUAAAGUAUUCCACAUUCCU